Molecule: long non-coding RNA, 5288 nt
Organism: Salmo salar (Atlantic salmon)
Lineage: Eukaryota; Metazoa; Chordata; Actinopteri; Salmoniformes; Salmonidae
Source: RefSeq, a predicted model, not a curated record
GACACUGGGUUUACAUUGUGGCAUAGGAUAGGCCCCGUAUUUACAGUAUGCUUCAUUCUAUUCUAUCUCACCGCAGAGAUUAUGUUGUUGUUGUAGCCCAUUUGAAAAGGUUGGGACAGCGCAUACAGACACGUUUCGAUUACAGAGGGGACGCAGAUGGUGGAGGAGACCUACGGGCAUUCUGUCACGAGUUUGCAGUAACAAUAGGACGUAUAUUUAUGGCAGCUGGAGUCCGUAGCCUACACGCGCUUGCAUACAAAAUACAGACAUCUGCAUACUGGUUAAUUCCUCAUGCCAUCCAAACACUCCUUUGUCCAGGCUUCUGUCUUUUUAUUUACUCUCUUUUAACCGCCCAUCAAAGGCAGCUGCUCGCCAGACCUCAGCUCAAGCAACGUGACGCACUCCACAGCUCGUCCUCAUUUUAGAGGAGAUCGAUGCAUGGAGGAUCGGACACAGCUCGAGCGCUUCAUCGCACCCUUACUGACACAGAUGCUGCGAGACUGGUGCAUUUUGGACCGGUGGUCAAACUUACAUAAUUGCAAAAGUGGCCAAACCCACAGCCCAGCUGGCGGGAUGCAAGUCCCCAUGAUGACUGGGGUUCCCUGGUGUCCCUGACUGACUGGUGAAUACAGGAGUUGGGAGAGACAAAUGGGUAUGUGUCCAGUAUAUCCUCAUACUGUGGAGGGGGUUCUUGUAAAGGCAGAGGUUUAACAGCCGUUAUUGAUGGUCAUUUUGUCUUGUGUGCUCCAUUCCUUGAUAUUUUUUAUUGACUAUUGUUGGUAUGAGGGGAGUUGCCGUAACAAGUUAUUCAUUUAAAUUAGGUUAGUUCAAGGUAAAAAAAAUGUCAAAUAAGUUAGAAAAAAAGGUUAUUCAGGUCCAUUAGAUACUGUUCCUCAACGCCUAUGAUUCUUGGUGAUUUUGCAGAUUCAUUUAGUAACCCUGGCCUACUGCAGUUCAUAGUAUCUAUUGGCAGUACAUUUACAUUUACAUUUAAGUCAUUUAGCAGACGCUCUUAUCCAGAGCGACUUACAGUAGUCAAGGCCAAUGGUCCAGCAUGUCCUUGGUAGGGUUUUGGGGACAGGUGUUCCAGGGGGUUGCGUUCCACUUUCUGCUGCUCUCUGCUCUGUGUUUAUCUCCAGAUAUAUCCUGAGGAAGAUGCUGGGAUGGUGCCAGACCUCAGAGCCUAUUUAGACGAGUCAACAACAUGUCCUGACCGACAAGGCUGUCAACAAAGCUGUUUUUAAACAGUUGUCAACGCGGUUCAUCCUUACCGAACUGGGACGGGAACUGGGACCUAUGGCUUUCACCCACUGAGAAAGGGGCACAACAUUGGCAUUCACCCACUGCUGAUGGGGCACAGCCACACUUCUUUAGCUAUCAAUAUGUGUUAGAAGUGUAUCACCUUGCUGUGAUUAUUUGGAUAUUUUACUUAGCCUACUUAAAAUGGAAGUGUCAUUGGCACAUUGCUGGUUCCCCUUUAACCUUUUACUGUAAUGCGCUAAAUCAGUCACAGUGUUUCUUGGUUGUCUUAAACAAAUCUGCUAUGAAACAAGAGCAUACACCUCACACACAUGGUUAUGGGCUUAAAAAAAGACCUGUACCAUAUCAGAUAUACAUUUGAAAUGUAUUCAAUUGUGAGUUUGCAUCCCAAUAUUACAGUUUAUAUACAUCAAAGAAGACUGAAACAUUACGAAACCAUAGAAACACAGAAUUCUCGGCGGGUUUUUGAAAUAAUGUUUAUUAAUGAUGAAAGAUAUGAAUAACAUUCCACCCAUGAGUCCACUAGAGGGUGAUUUGGUCAUUUGACUGCAGCAAAGGGCUACUUGUAGUCUUUUAUGCCACAUUGUUCAGGACUUUAUUGGAUAGGACCACAUUUCAUGCCAUAAGAGAGACUCAUAAGGGGUGGGGUUGUAGUGUUGUGUGUCUGAUGCUUUGGUGCUUUGCAUUUCCUUCCCUGAAAUACUGUUUAACUGAGGGAUGCUUUCUCUCCCCUCCUUUGUAAAAUAACUCUAACACGUUCUGAUCCCCCUUCCACACUGUUCAGCUGAUCAAAGCACUGACACUGCAGUUGACUAACACCUCUCUCUGAUGCCUGCUUCUCCUCAUGCUGUCAGCACUGUCCUUUCUCUUCUCUGUAACCUUGGCAACACUUUAACGCCUUACUCACCUCCUCCUAUCUCGGACGUCUAAUAUGACUAACAAGAUUGAGUCUGCUGAGAUGGCCUUGCUGUUCAUUUCAAUGAUGUGCUCCUAACCAAGCUAGCAGGGAGCAUACCCAUGACAAGCCUGUGCGGCUGGUUUGGUAACAUUAGUCUACCCUAACGUUACAGGAAUGUUGAGGAUGUUACAGUUGUGUCAGUGUGUGUAGCUGUGUUUGUGUUGGAGGUGUCUCUCAAUCUUACCGCCGUAGUUUUUAGAUGGUUUCCUGAGGCCUUGUUUGUCUUGUGAUUGCUGCAUGUACUGGUAACUCUGAGUAACCUUAGCUGGAGUCGCAAAGAACUAACCAACAGUGGGGUAAUCCUGGUUUACUAACCUGGACUAACAGUCUAACAUUCACUAAUCAACCAAACUGAAACCCAAGCACUGGAGAAGUGCCUUGUCUGACUCUCCCUGGUUAAAACCUAAUGGUCUGUUAAAACCACUGUGUGUGUGUGUGUGUGUGUGUGUGUGUGUGGGUGUGGGUGUGUGUGUGUGUGUGUGUGUGUGUGUGUGUGUGUGUGUGUGUGGGAAGGUGUGUGGGUGUACAUUGUGUGUUUAAGAGUGGGGCUGUUACUGUCAUUAAUAUUCUUACACUCUGAAACCAAACCCCCAACUGUCAACAGCUCUCUUGGCAUUCCUUAAUAAAUACACUAACAAUACCCCUCUAAUACCUAACAGUACUAACGUCUGCUAACAGACCUAUUGUUACUAAUACUCAACUGUACUAUGGAUGAUGUUGGCUGGACUUGUGAUUUCUAACACACUGACUAACCCUUUGCUUUGUGCCCUGAGUCUGAGACAGAGUCCUCUCACAUUUUCCUGAAACCCUUCUCCCGCCAGACACAGAUCACCCAAAAUCAUAUACAAGAACUAUGUAUUUAUCAAUCUGUUAUAACCUUAAGUGUGAUAUGUUGCUUGAGACAUGUUACUUUUGGCCCCCUAAAGCACAAUGGUGAGUGAUUCCAGGAUCUGGGAUGGAAAACUGGAUCAACCAAUAGAUUUAAAGAAAAAGCGCACCUAGGUUGACCACACACUUCUGCUCAGGGUGACGAUUGAUUUAAAAAAAAUAUAUAUUACAAAUCGUAAAGUAACUAUGCUAAAGAAUUGUAUUUCAUUAAAGCUAGAGAAUUGUAUUUCAUUAAAGCUAAAGAAUUGUAUUUCAUGUAUUUCAUUAAAGCUAAAGAAUUGUAUUUCAUUAAAGCUGUAGUAUUCUAUCUUAAGAAAUAAUGGCUGACAACAUUUUGUCCCUCUGUCCAUUGUGUGGCCAACCUCCAAAAGGUGUUGCAGCUCAGUGCUUGGUUUGCAGUCUGCAUAGACACUGGUGUGUAUUAUCUUAUAAGAUAAACCAAAGGAAAUAGCAACCCUUUCCUGCUUUACUACUAACUGAGUGGUGACUGGUAUACUAACCACCCCAUAUGAGGCUUAACAAUUUGGCCAUUGAUUCAUUGCUCUUACUAACAUACUGUAUCUUCCCACAUAAAACAAUGCUACAUUUUACUAUAGAAUACUAUAGUACACUCUGUAGUAUCCCUGGAUCAUGUGUAGAAUUACUAUAUAAUUUUGUGUUAUACUAUAACGGUAUACAGUAACCGAAAAGACACUGGUUCGAAUCCCUGAGCCGACAAGGUGAAACAUCUGUCGAUGUCUGUCGAUGUGCCCUUGAGCAAGGCACUUAACCCUAAUUGCUCCUGUAAGUCGCUCUGGAUAAGAGUGUCUGCUAAAUGUCUAAAAUGUAAAAAUGUAGAAUAGUAUACUGCACACUGUAGUAUCCCUUGAUUGUGUAGUGCUUACUAUAUACUUUUGUAGUAUACUGUGGAAUAUUAUACUACACACUGUAGUAUACUGUGGAAUACUAUACUACACACUGUAGUAUCUCUUGACUGUAUAGUGCUUACUAUUGGAUUGUGUAGUAUACUGGCGAAUACUACACUUCACAUUGUAAUAUCCCUCUAUCGUGUACUGCUAACUAUAUAAUUUUUUUGUAUACUGUAGAAUACUAUACUACACACCGUAGUAUCCCUCGAUCAUGUGUAGUGCUUACUAUAUAUUUUUAUUGUAUACUGUAUAAUACUAGAUUAAAUAAUACAGCAUUAUCUGAAAAAAACAUUAGUAAAUACUACAGUAAUGUCCACAAAAACAGUUUUUUAAAACUAUAGUUAUACUAGAUUAUUUUAAUUUGCGUAUGCUUCACAUUCCCAUCCCCCAUACAGUGGUGUAAUGUACUUAAGUAAAAAUAGUUGAAAGUACUACUUAAGUAGUUUUUUGGGGUAUCUGUACUUUACUAUUUAUAUUUUUGACUACUUUUACUUUUACUCCACUACAUUCCUAAAGAAAAUAAUGUACUUUUUACUCCUUACAUUUUCCCUGACACUCAAAAGUACUCGUUAUAUUUUGAAUGCUUAGCAGGACAGGAGAAUUGUCUAUUUCACAAACUUAUCGAGAGAACAUCCCUGGUCAUCCCUACUGCCUCUGAUCUGGCGUACUCACUAAACACAUGCUUAAUUUGUAAAUUACGUCUGAGGGUUGUAGUGUGCCCCUGGCGAUCUGUAAAUAAAAAAAAAACAAGAAAAUUGUGCCAUCUGGAAUUUUACAAUAUUUUACUUUUGAUACUAAAGUACAUUUAAAAUCAAAUACUUUUAGACUUUUACUCAAGUAGUAUUUUACUGGGUGACUUUCAUUUUUACUUGUCAUUUCUUUUAAAGGUAUCUUUAGUUUUACUCAAGUAUGAACAUUUGGUGCUUAUUUCAUCAUUGCCCCCAUAGCGCAAUUUGAGAUAACUAUGAGUGAGAUACCUACAUGCCACGUAUAGACCAUAUAUUGUCUUCCCUACAGAUUAUAAAAAAGAACAGAUGCUCUGAACUAUCUGAUCAGACUCCAGUUCUAUCUACCUACCUACAGGUUAUGGAACAUUUGCUAUUUUUGCCCAGCAGGUUUCCUCAAGGAGAAAUCCUCCAUUUCUAUGAGCCUCUCCCGAGUCCAAACGUGAGUUUGCAGCGAGGGGUCAAGAUUGUAAGUACCAAUUGGAUGUCACAAAAUUGGGGAGAAAAAGGGGUAAAAAGUACAAAAAAAUACUACAAAAAAACCUCAUA